Molecule: unclassified non-coding RNA, 235 nt
Filed under: uncultured fungus
Lineage: Eukaryota; Fungi
Description: sequence contains ITS1, 5.8S rRNA gene
Rfam family: 5.8S ribosomal RNA (bases 187-235)
Source: RNAcentral
UCUCCGUUGGUGAACCAGCGGAGGGAUCAUUACCGAGUUUACAACUCCCAAACCCCUGUGAACAUACCUAUCGUUGCUUCGGCGGGAUCGCCCCGGCGCCCUCGGGCCCGGACCCAGGCGCCCGCCGGAGGACCUAAACUCUUGUCUUUUUUAGUAUUCUUCUGAGUAAACAAGCAAAUAAAUCAAAACUUUCAACAACGGAUCUCUUGGUUCUGGCAUCGAUGAAGAACGCAGC